UUGGGCUUGACCUACCCAAUGCAGACCGGCCUUGCGUUAACCCACGCAAGGUGGAUGCCCAACUCGAUCUUCUGCACCUACACGAGGAAGAAGUCCGUGGGAAUUGGAUCGACGAGUUUUAGUUCUCGCAUAGGUAAAUUCGUCUCGCACCCUCAAAAGCAGGAAAGCAGAAUGAGAUGGGUUUCAAUAUGCUUUUCUUCACCAUUUUGUAUUGGUUUUUUUUUUUUUUUUUUAAAUAUUAGCUGACGUCAGCCGAUUGCACUGUAUCUGCAGGAGACGACUGUACAUCAAAGAACCUAUACCACCACUUUACUAUGCAUCUGAUGUGUCUUAAUUUUUUUUUUUCUUUUCUUCUCUCCUCCCGGCUUUAUCCUUUUGAAAUUCAAAAACAAUCUCAGAUGCCCCAAACAUUUCGCACCUCCCCCCUCCUCUCCAUCGUGUUGCCCCGUCUCGAGUGAGGGUACUUCUCUCUUCCUCUCCUACGCAUCUCUCCCACACUAACUCUCUCUCUGCUUGUUUCUCUAUCUGUCUCGAAUUUGGGCCAUUUGGACGAAAUCACAAUUAAGUGCUGCCGCGCUUUGCUCGAUUGAGAGGACAAAAGGUCUAACCUACCUCGUGAUCAUGAUGUUUUGUAACCCCAGCUUCAUUUCAACGAUUAUAUAGAACAAGAAGAGAUGCAAUUGAUAUCAGUGAAAGCUCACAGAGAUGCUUAAAGUCUUCUCAAUGCCAAAAGCAAUAUUGAGACGGUGUCAAAUGUUAGUGUUCCAAUUGUGAGUUUACCCUCUGAAGUUACCCGCUCCACAUACAUACAAUUAGAAGAUUGCAUUAUCCAGAACACUAAAUAAAGGACUUAUCAAGAACAAGAUAACUAUUUGAUCGUAUUUGAAGGCUUAAAAGUGUCUUUUUCGGCA
Molecule: long non-coding RNA, 911 nt
Organism: Carya illinoinensis
Lineage: Eukaryota; Viridiplantae; Streptophyta; Magnoliopsida; Fagales; Juglandaceae
Exons: 2
Source: RefSeq, a predicted model, not a curated record